RNAcentral lists this transfer RNA (67 nucleotides) under Amblyomma americanum (Lone Star tick). Its description in RNAcentral is "tRNA-Lys". It matches the Rfam family "tRNA". From Rfam's summary of the family: Transfer RNA (tRNA) molecules are approximately 80 nucleotides in length. Lineage: Eukaryota; Metazoa; Arthropoda; Arachnida; Ixodida; Ixodidae. The record is from RNAcentral.
CAUUGAAUGGCUGAAGUUUAAGCGAUGGUCUCUUAAACCAAACAAUAGUAAAAUUUACUUUCAAUGA